This 732-nucleotide unclassified non-coding RNA is filed under the name Hevea brasiliensis (rubber tree). The record is from RNAcentral. Lineage: Eukaryota; Viridiplantae; Streptophyta; Magnoliopsida; Malpighiales; Euphorbiaceae.
AAACUUGUAUAAAUUUACACAUGUUGGCCUUUUUCUAACUUAUAGAUAUUCUAUAUUCACACUAUUUUUUUCCUUGCGUUAUUGAAAUUGUUGGUCAUAUUUUAUAAACUGGAUGGCAUCUACCCACCUAUCUGAUUUAUGUUCACAACUAACUAUGAUCCUUUUGAAUUGGUACAAGCAUUCUUUGGUGCAUGUGGGUCUUAGUUGGUUCCAGUGCAAUUCGUUGGUGGAUGUGUGCCCCAGAAUGACGUGGAGUUUUAUUUCCAUUAGUCUGUAUUCAGAAUGCAAUGGAUGCACGAGUUUUUAGUUGGUUCUAGGACUAUCUUGUGCAUAAGUUUAGACCUGUCGGAUAUCUGUGGAGGAUUGCAAGUUAGUGAAGAGAAAUACAAACUGUUGCAACUUGCAAGUUUAGUGACAUGUUAUGGAAUAAUGUGAUUAGGAUAAAUCUUUAAGCAUAAAAUUACAUAUCAAAGUGGCAAUGAUUAAGUUAGGCUGGGAAAUUUUUGCAUGAGUGAGUGUUCUAAAAAGCUUCUUUGCUUAGUGAUAGAGUUCAUGGUAGAUUGCCAACUUUUGUGAGUUGUUUUGUAGCCUUAUGAGAGAGGGUGUUUUGUAUUUGCAGUCGUAUUGUGGUUUUGGGUGGAUAAAAACCAUCUGCCUGGUUUUGGCACUUGUUUGUACUGAUUUAGGGUCUAUUCUAUGAGACUUAAUCUCUACACUGCACAGAUGCAUGGA